Molecule: ribosomal RNA, 461 nt
Filed under: uncultured bacterium
Lineage: Bacteria
Description: partial 16S ribosomal RNA
Rfam family: Bacterial small subunit ribosomal RNA
Source: RNAcentral
GACGAACGCUGGCGGCGUGCUUAACACAUGCAAGUCGAACGGAAAGGCCCUUCGGGGUACUCGAGUGGCGAACGGGUGAGUAACACGUGGGUGAUCUGCCCUGCACUUUGGGAUAAGCCUGGGAAACUGGGUCUAAUACCGAAUAGGACCACGCGCUUCAUGGUGUGUGGUGGAAAGCUUUUGCGGUGUGGGAUGGGCCCGCGGCCUAUCAGCUUGUUGGUGGGGUAAUGGCCUACCAAGGCGACGACGGGUAGCCGGCCUGAGAGGGUGACCGGCCACACUGGGACUGAGAUACGGCCCAGACUCCUACGGGAGGCAGCAGUGGGGAAUAUUGCACAAUGGGCGCAAGCCUGAUGCAGCGACGCCGCGUGAGGGAUGACGGCCUUCGGGUUGUAAACCUCUUUCAAUAGGACGAAGCGCAAGUGACGGUACCUAUAGAAGAAGCACCGGCCAACUACGUG